This 1170-nucleotide long non-coding RNA is filed under the name Homo sapiens (human). RNAcentral's name for it is "HSALNT0117037". The record is from RNAcentral. Lineage: Eukaryota; Metazoa; Chordata; Mammalia; Primates; Hominidae.
AAGAAUAACAAUUCUAGUUCCCUACAAAUCAGCCGGUUCAGAGCUGUCCCUCAAAAUCCUGGCCGUCUCAGUGUUAAAGAAGUGCGACCUCUCUCCGCCCUGGGUGGCGCCAUCCAGACAAGGUGGGGCAGAUAGUGCCCUCUCUCCCCUCUGUCUCCCACUCUCUGUCUCUCCUUCCCUCUUUCUCCAAGCCCAGCGGAUCCAUUUCUCCUCCCGGCUGUGAUCAUGACAAGCGUCCCCGUUUCUUCCUUCUACCCCUGAGCCCCCCCUUCUUAAACUUGACCCACGUUGACCUCCACACCAUUACGUCUGAAUGGGUCGCCUGCAACUCAUUAAAAUCCACGACUGCAGCACAGAUGAAAGAUGAAGCGGAUUAACCGGGGGCUCCGAUGUAUCCGUGAGAUUGACUCUUCGCUGUAGGCAAUGGAAUCUUUUCUCUUUUUCUUAACAAUCAAUCAAGAGUGAAUUAAACAGAAGGGUUUCCGAAGACGCUCAUUAUCUCCAUUCCUCGAAACAGCCCCUCCCCAUUGCUCCAGCCUCUGCCCCUCACAAGCCGGCUGUGCCAUCCCUGCGUGUGGGCCUGCACUGGGCCAUUCAUUUUUCCUCGCCCCUGGGAAGAGUGGCGACCACCACUUCUUGGCGACGACUAUGGGGUCCUCCCCGUGGGCACAAUCAGGAGUUGGCAAUGCCCCAUACCCGAGGCCCUUUCAUGUCAAACCCAUUCACGUAGGCUGCGACUCACUGCAACCUGAUGCCAGCGGCCGGCCGCCAGCUCGGGGUUCUGUCACCAGGGCAGCGCUGGCCAGCAGCGAGGCAGGGGACGCCAAGCUCACAGGGAGAGGGAUUUCAUUUCUCUUCUGCUCACAUUUUUCUCAUUAAAAAUUUCAAAACCUCCCAAGACUCAGAAGUAAUUGCAGCAGAUUUCUAGUUCAAGCCCCUUUAUUUGCUACAAGAACCAAAGGAUGGGGGCGUGAAGCGAUCAGCCACGCACAGGCGUCGGACCUACGGGGCGCUGGACACGGAGGUCCUUCCCGCUCAGCACAAGGUUUGGGAAGACAAUUUCGAUAACAAAGCAUCUAAUCUUUCGAAUUGCCCCUACCUGGAGUUUUAAAAGGCGUUAAGACAUGAGGAAGCUGACUCUCAUCACUGCUUCUGGCUAGCACAGUGCAG